AAUAUGAGUAUGCAUACGUGCAACAUAGUGAAAUGGAUGACUAUUCAUAUUCGAAUCAGAUAAAGAGAAGCUGAAGUUAUAUUCAAAAGGUAAGCUUUGAUACAUUCGUUACAUUUAUUAAAAAAAAAAAUUGCAAUAUUCCUAAAAUUCAUUUCAUAAAUUUAGAUGAAAUUGUAAGUUUAUCAAUUUCUCUUGAAAGAAAAUUUCACAAUGUGAAUUAGCGUUAAAGUCAAAUUAGUCUUAUAACCUCUUAAUAAAUACUCAAUCUUUACAUAAUUUAGAAGAUAGGGAAUAUUUCAUAUAGUAUCUAUAUAGAAUUAUGCAGCAUUCCUUAUAUUCCUUAUAUAUACUGUGACUAAUAAAUUAUUCAACUCGGACGAAACAUUCCAUAGAUAGGAAUAAUUUAUCAUUGAGAUAAUCUUGCAAUUUAUCCACGGAAGUAUUGCAAAUUCAUUAAGCUCAUAUCCCUUUCUUCAUUCUGAAUUAUUAUCAAAUAAUUUAAAUUGGUGUAUUACUACAACACAAUAGCGAUAAUUUGAAUAUCAAUCUAUGCAAUAGAAAAUCUAACAUUACAUUCAACUCUCGUGAUCUAAUUUAAAUUCCUUGAAAUAUUCUGAACUGAAAAAUUUCCCAUAUAAAAUGACACGCGAUCUGAGAUCACUAUCACUUCAAGUGCAAUAUUUAUUCCUAUUUUGCAUACUGUCCAAGAUAUCAAUUGAUCGAGCAGGUAUAGUUAAACUAUUACUUUGGAUUUUUAUCAGGUAAUAUAGCGUGAAGUAGACCGACUUUUCUUUCUUUCAAGUAUGUCAACAAUAUUUUGCUGAAUUAAAAUUCAAAUUAUUAAUGAAAUAUAUAUUUUAUUAUUGGCAAUUUCUAGGUUAAAGAGAAUGUCUAGGGAUAUGCCAGGAAACCAGAUAAAUUAUGCAAUUCAAACGAUGUUCGAAGUUGACGAAAAAGAGAUCCACGUAUUCGGAAAUGAAUGGCGCGUUCGAAUUGCGAGUGUAACUGCGUCGAGGACAAAAUGAAAGAUGCUUCCGUGAUAAUUUCCGAUCGUGACGUUUCGCAUCGUCAAAACUGCGAUAGCGUACUUUAUUAUCGUGGAAUCAACACGGGUCACUCGGUUGAAAAUUCUCCAACAUAUGUGUCCAGGGAAAAAAGAGAUAAGCGAAAAUAUAUAGCAAUGGAAAUUCGAACAAGAGACGAAUCAGUAUCAUGGAACGUUGCAGAAUUUUGACUUUAAUACAUCGAAUAAAGAAUUUUGCUUUACAUAUAGAGGAAUCAAUUUCCAUGAGAAUAGCGGUUGAUCAUUCUUGAUUUAGGUAUAUAAUAAAUAUAUUUAAUAUUCUUAUGAUAACUGAUAGUUGAAGAACCCAACAUCAUCAUGGUCAUCAAUCAAGGUAUCGUACAAAUUUAAAUAUAUAAUCAAUAUAUCAAAAAUCAUUCUAAAACAAAAUAAUAGGCGUUAAUCGCUUAUACGAUUCAAUUUCUAAAGGUUUAAACUCGCCGUCUGGAACAACUAUAAUAGAAUGACUAGUAAAACCGGAAACCGAAGUAACGAGACAGAAAAAACAGGAAACAUAAUGCAGCAUCAUUAAAAAGCAUCAAGUAGAAACUAUUCUCUGCAACAGGAAAUUAACGAGAAACGAUAAGAACAAUCGUUUUACUGUCAUAUAGCAGACGAUAAAAAGGGAAGGAGGGGAAGAUUAAAAGGGGAGCAUAAACGUCGCAUUCAUGCGAUCGAUAGGCUUCGAUGCCACGUUCCAUCCUGCAUGUACUUUGUUUUCGUAAUGAAUUAUUUAAAGGGUUGCGGUACUUCGCGGCAACUUUGAAAAAGGAAGGACACGCGUGCCUAAAGAGAGAGAGAAAGAGAAAGAGUGAUCGAAAAAAUUAGAGAAAAAAAAAAGAAAGGAAGAAUAAUGGAAAACAAAAAUUAUGAAUAAUACAUAAGAAACCGAGAGUAUUUUGAUACUUAUGCAGGUGGCGGAGUUGUGGGCGGAUCAAAGAUGGAUUUUUACGAUACACCCGAACGAAGAAGCAAACGGAAAUAAAACGGCACGGUCAGGAACGAUAUACAGGUUUUAAGAGGAGGUGGAAACGUGUAUACUUUCGAACAGUGUCUGCCUUCCUUUUAGUCGAAGGUUUUACGAUGACGUUUAUUCACGGCGUUCAUCUCGCGAAACGCGCGCCAUCGGGGAUAAAAAUAACUUCGUAAGAUGUGAAACCUUGGUGAUAACAUUUUUACGAUUUUCGCAAUUUCCGAGUUGGGAAAGAGAUGGCGUCCAGCGUGACCAAGGGGCAAAUGGAAUAUCCGUAUCCCUGCUCAUGAUAUUUUAUGCAAUCAUAUAAAUGUAUGCAUGUCCAAAAGUACUAUUUCAAAAUUUCAAUUUCGAAACAAAUUUCAAAGAAUAUCUAAAUAUAUGUAUUUUGGAAUAUUUGUUACAUUCGAUAUUCGAGUAAAAAUGUUGGUGAAGAUCAAAGAUAAAAAAUUGAUGAAUCGUGAUAAAUCGUGAUAGUAAUUAUUGCAAGGAAUUUAUUUCCAUUAGAAAAUAGUCUAGUAAAUAUUUACUUUAGGAUAGAAAUUUUUUAUCAGCCUUGUGUUUUUUACGAGCCUUUCUCGAUUGAAAUUCGUAGGGUUAAGUUAAACUUUGUUCGAGCAAUAGUUCGUGAAGUUUAAAGCUUAGUUUACUGACGUUGAGCCAAAGUAGACAAUUAAUCAAAGUAUAUAUUUAAUAAUUUCAAACUCUUAUAUACUAGCCUUUUAUAAAAGUUGCAUAAUGACGUUGGAAGUUAUGUAAUCACAUUUACCAACAAGUUUCAAGAUUACAUAUUACUAUUAAUUACUUUGUCCAAAGUAAUUGUUACAUUCUAUCGUAUUAUAAUAAAACAAUAAUUAAUUAUAAUUUCUUUUCUUAUAAACAAACAAGAAUUUUGUUAAAACAAAAGUAGUCGCUCUAUCUUCGUUACACCAUCUUAUUUUUGUCACGUUUUAUUUUCACCACCGAUUUAAAUUACUUAUAACUUAAUAAAUAAGCUUCAAUCGAUA
This is a long non-coding RNA of Apis florea (little honeybee), 3043 nucleotides long. Lineage: Eukaryota; Metazoa; Arthropoda; Insecta; Hymenoptera; Apidae. The record is from RefSeq and is a predicted model, not a curated record.